Molecule: ribosomal RNA, 460 nt
Filed under: uncultured bacterium
Lineage: Bacteria
Description: partial 16S ribosomal RNA
Rfam family: Bacterial small subunit ribosomal RNA
Source: RNAcentral
CCUACGGGAGGCAGCAGUGAGGAAUAUUGGUCAAUGGGCGGAAGCCUGAACCAGCCAAGUCGCGUGAGGGAAUAAGGUCCUACGGGUCGUAAACCUCUUUUGUCGGGGAGCAAGGGCCGGGACGCGUCCCGGCCUGACGAGUACCCGGAGAAAAAGCAUCGGCAAACUCCGUGCCAGCAGCCGCGGUAAUACGGAGGAUGCGAGCGUUAUCCGGAUUUAUUGGGUUUAAGGGGUGCGUAGGCGGGCUUUUACGUCAGCGUUAAAAGUUCGGGGCUCAACCCCGUCCGGCCGUUGAAACUGGAGGCCUUGAGUGGGCGAGAAGUAGGCGGAAUGCGUGGUGUAGCGGUGAAAUGCAUAGAUAUCACGCAGAACCCCGAUUGCGAAGGCAGCCUUCCGGCGCCCUACUGACGCUGAGGCACGAAAGGGCGGGGAUCGAACAGGAUUAGAUACCCGAGUAGUC